RNAcentral lists this small nucleolar RNA (80 nucleotides) under Laticauda laticaudata (blue-ringed sea krait). Its description in RNAcentral is "Small nucleolar RNA U3 (ENSLLTG00000008640.1)". It matches the Rfam family "Small nucleolar RNA U3", at positions 1 to 82 of the family's 219-position model. Rfam says of the family: Small nucleolar RNAs (snoRNAs) are involved in the processing and modification of rRNA in the nucleolus. There are two main classes of snoRNAs: the box C/D class, and the box H/ACA class. U3 snoRNA is a member of the box C/D class. The record is from Rfam by way of RNAcentral. Lineage: Eukaryota; Metazoa; Chordata; Lepidosauria; Squamata; Elapidae.
GAGACUAUACUUUCAGGGAUCAUUUCUAUAGUAUCCAACUAGAGAAAUGCACUCGUAAGUGAUCAGCUGAGAUUCUCAGA